GUGAGGAAUUUUGCGCAAUGGCCGCAACCCUGAUCCAGCAAUGCCGCGUGCAGGAAGAAGGCCUUCGGGUUGUAAACUGCUUUUGUACGGAACGAAACGGUCCUGGUUAAUACCUGGGGCUAAUGACGGUACCGUAAGAAUAAGCACCGGCUAACUACGUGCCAGCAGCCGCGGUAAUACGUAGGGUGCAAGCGUUAAUCGGAAUUACUGGGCGUAAAGCGUGCGCAGGCGGUUUUGUAAGACAGGCGUGAAAUCCCCGGGCUCAACCUGGGAAUGGCGCUUGUGACUGCAAGGCUGGAGUGCGGCAGAGGGGGAUGGAAUUCCGCGUGUAGCAGUGAAAUGCGUAGAUAUGCGGAGGAACACCGAUGGCGAAGGCAAUCCCCUGGGCCUGCACUGACGCUCAUGCACGAAAGCGUGGGGAGCAAACAGGAUUAGAUACCCGGGUAGUCC
This 450-nucleotide ribosomal RNA is filed under the name uncultured bacterium. RNAcentral describes it as "partial 16S ribosomal RNA". It matches the Rfam family "Bacterial small subunit ribosomal RNA", at positions 354 to 796 of the family's 1533-position model. The record is from RNAcentral.